This 27-nucleotide non-coding RNA is filed under the name Rattus norvegicus (Norway rat). The record is from RNAcentral. Lineage: Eukaryota; Metazoa; Chordata; Mammalia; Rodentia; Muridae.
UAGAACAGACAUAUGAGCAACAUUAAA